This 205-nucleotide unclassified non-coding RNA is filed under the name Hevea brasiliensis (rubber tree). Lineage: Eukaryota; Viridiplantae; Streptophyta; Magnoliopsida; Malpighiales; Euphorbiaceae. The record is from RNAcentral.
CAUCGAUGUCGGAUGCCCGGUUCGUAUUCUGCAAGGCGCGCAGGACCCGGACGUGCCGUGGCGUCACGCCUUCGCGCUGACCCAUUGCCUGCCCAGCGACGAUGUGGUGCUGACGCUGGUUCAGGAUGGCGACCAUCGCCUGUCCCGGCCGCAGGACAUCGCGCGCAUACUGAGUGCGGUGAGCGAAUUGUCGAACGGAUAGGCG